Anneissia japonica is the source of this 340-nucleotide long non-coding RNA. RefSeq lists it as uncharacterized. The record is from RefSeq and is a predicted model, not a curated record. The transcript has 3 exons. Lineage: Eukaryota; Metazoa; Echinodermata; Crinoidea; Comatulida; Comatulidae.
ACAGCAAUGUAUUCCAAUUGACCCUUGUGCAGAAGACUCGCACGAUUGUCACAAGAACGGAAAGUGCAUUUUCUUCGGACCUUACAGUCAGCCCAAGUUCGGCUGCAAGUGUAAAACUGGCUACGCCGGUAAUGGUCGAAUUUGUGGUAGCGACAGCGAUCUGGAUGGCUGGCCAGAUGAGGAUCUUAAAUGCGAAGACUCUUACGGCCACCAUUGCACAGCUGAUAACUGCCCAAGUAUUCCCAACAGUGGGCAGGAAGACCAAGAUAAGGACAAACUAGGUGAUGCUUGUGAUACUGAUGAUGACAACGAUGGAAUCCACGACUCAGCUGUAAGACUG